GCGAGUGAGCGGGAAGAGCUCAAUUUGAAAUCUGGUGGCCUCAGGUCAUCCGAGUUGUAAUCUAUAGAAGUGUUUUCCGUGCUGGCUCAUGUACAAGUCCCUUGGAACAGGGCGUCAUAGAGGGUGAGAAUCCCGUCCUUGACAUGAACUACCAGUGCUCUGUGAUACAUUUUCAACGAGUCGAGUUGUUUGGGAAUGCAGCUCAAAAUGGGUGGUAAAUUCCAUCUAAAGCUAAAUAUUGGCGAGAGACCGAUAGCGAACAAGUACCGUGAGGGAAAGAUGAAAAGCACUUUGGAAAGAGAGUUAAACAGUAUGUGAAAUUGUUGAAAGGGAAACGAUUGAAGUCAGUCGUGCUCUUUGGAUUCAGCCGGUUCUGCCGGUGUACUUCCUUUGAGUGGGGUCAACAUCAGUUUUGAUCGCUGGAUAAAGGCUGGAGGAAUGUAGUACCCUCGGGUAAACUUAUAGCCUCCUGUCACAUACAGUGGUUGGGACUGAGGAACGCAGCACGCCUUUAUGGCCGGGAUUCGUCCACGUACGUGCUUAGGAUGUUGACAUAAUGGCUUUAAAC
Molecule: ribosomal RNA, 568 nt
Filed under: Filobasidium sp.
Lineage: Eukaryota; Fungi; Basidiomycota; Tremellomycetes; Filobasidiales; Filobasidiaceae
Description: partial large subunit ribosomal RNA
Rfam family: Eukaryotic large subunit ribosomal RNA
Source: RNAcentral